UAGGGAAUCUUCGGCAAUGGGGGGAACCCUGACCGAGCAACGCCGCGUGAGUGAAGAAGGUUUUCGGAUCGUAAAGCUCUGUUGUUAAGGAAGAACGAGUGUGAGAAUGGAAAGUUCAUACUGUGACGGUACUUAACCAGAAAGGGACGGCUAACUACGUGCCAGCAGCCGCGGUAAUACGUAGGUCCCGAGCGUUGUCCGGAUUUAUUGGGCGUAAAGCGAGCGCAGGCGGUCAAUUAAGUCUGAUGUGAAAGCCCCCGGCUCAACCGGGGAGGGUCAUUGGAAACUGGUUGACUUGAGUGCAGAAGAGGAGAGUGGAAUUCCCUGUGUAGCGGUGAAAUGCGUAGAUAUAUGGGGGAACACCAGUGGCGAAGGCGACUCUCUGGUCUGUAACUGACGCUGAGGCUCGAAAGCGUGGGUAGCAAACAGG
RNAcentral lists this ribosomal RNA (430 nucleotides) under Bacteroidota bacterium. RNAcentral describes it as "Bacteroidetes bacterium partial 16S ribosomal RNA". It matches the Rfam family "Bacterial small subunit ribosomal RNA", at positions 355 to 776 of the family's 1533-position model. Lineage: Bacteria; Pseudomonadati; Bacteroidota. The record is from RNAcentral.